GGUUCGAUUAUGGCUCAGAUUGAACGCUGGCGGGAUGCUUUACAUGCAAGUCGAACGGCAGCACGGACUUCGGUCUGGUGGCGAGUGGCGAACGGGUGAGUAAUGUAUCCGGAACGUGCCUAUGGUAGCGGGGAUAACUACGCGAAAGCGUAGCUAAUACCGCAUACGCCCUUCGAGGAAAGCCGGGGACCUUCGGGCCUCGCACUAUUAAACGGCCGAUAUCGGAUUAGCUAGUUGGUGGGGUAACGGCUCACCAAGGCGACGAUCCGUAGCUGGUUUGAGAGGACGACCAGCCACACUGGGACUGGACGGCCCAGACUCCUACGGGAGGCAGCAGUGAAAUUUUGGACAAUGGGGAAACCCUGAUCCAGCCAUCCCGCGUGUGCGAUGAAGGCCUUCGGGUUGUAAAGCACUUUGGCAGGAAGAAACGGCACGGGAUAAUACCCCGUGCAACCCGGCGAAACACCUGCAGAAUAAGCACGCAAUAACUUACAUUACAGCAGCCGCGGUAAUACGUAGGGUGCAAGCGUUAAUCGGAAUUACUGGGCGUAAAGCGUGCGCAGAAGCAGGUUGGAAAGAUGUGAAAUCCCAGAGCGCUUUGGAACUGCAUUUUUAACUACCGAGCUAGAGUGUGUCAGGGAGGUGGAAUUCCGCGUGUAGCAGUGAAAUGCGUAGAUAUGCGGAGAAAGCACACCGAUGGCGAAAACAGCCUCCUGGGAUAACACUGACGCUCAUGCACGAAAGCGUGGGGAGCAAACAGUUAGAUACCCUGGUAGUCCACGCCCUCGACGAUGUCAACUAGCUGUUGGGGCCUUCGGGCCUUGGUGGCGCAGCUAACGCGUGAAGUUGACCGCCUGGGAGAUACCCGGUCGCAAGAUUAAAAACAAAGGAAUUGACGGGGACCCACUGACGUGGAUGAUGUGGAUUAAUUCGAUGCAACGCGAAAAACCUUACCUAUGACAUGUCUGGAAUCGAAAGAGAUUUGGGGUGCUCGCAGAAGGAACCGGAACACAGGUGCUGCAUAAAAAACAUUAAAGUCAGCUCGUGUCGUGAAGAUCGUGGGUUAAGUCCCGCAACGAGCGCAACCCUUGUCAUUAGUUGCUACGAGGCACUCUAGUAGAGAUUUGGUGACAAACCGGGAGGAAGGUGAGGAUGACGUCAAGUCCUCAUGGCCCUUAUGGGUAGGGCUUCACACGUCAUACAAUGGUCGGGACAGAGGGUCGCCAACCCGCGAGGAGCCAAUCCGAAGGCGAUGUCGUCCGGAUCGCCAGUCUGCAACUCAGCUGCGUGAAGUCGGAAUCGCUAGUAAUCGCGGAUCGGCAUGUCCUUGAAUACGUUCCGGAUCUUGUACGCCGCCCGUCACACCAUGGGAAUUAGGUUUUACCAAGUAGUUAGCCUAACCGUAGGGAGGGCGAUUACCACAGUAGGAUUCAUGACUGGGGUGAAGUCGUAACAAGGUAA
RNAcentral lists this ribosomal RNA (1461 nucleotides) under uncultured Bordetella sp. RNAcentral describes it as "partial 16S-23S ribosomal RNA intergenic spacer". It matches the Rfam family "Bacterial small subunit ribosomal RNA". The record is from RNAcentral. Lineage: Bacteria; Pseudomonadati; Pseudomonadota; Betaproteobacteria; Burkholderiales; Alcaligenaceae.